RNAcentral lists this ribosomal RNA (460 nucleotides) under uncultured bacterium. RNAcentral describes it as "partial 16S ribosomal RNA". It matches the Rfam family "Bacterial small subunit ribosomal RNA", at positions 338 to 795 of the family's 1533-position model. The record is from RNAcentral.
CCUACGGGUGGCAGCAGUGAGGAAUAUUGGUCAAUGGACGAGAGUCUGAACCAGCCAAGUAGCGUGAAGGAUGACUGCCCUAUGGGUUGUAAACUUCUUUUAUAUGGGAAUAAAAUGUUCCACGUGUGGGAUUUUGUAUGUACUAUAUGAAUAAGGAUCGGCUAACUCCGUGCCAGCAGCCGCGGUAAUACGGAGGAUCCGAGCGUUAUACGGAUUUAUUGGGUUUAAAGGGAGCGUAGGUGGAUUGUUAAGUCAGUUGUGAAAGUUUGCGGCUCAACCGUAAAAUUGCAUUUUAAACUGGCAGUCUUGAGUACAGUAGAGGUGGUCGGAAUUCGUGGUGUAGCGGUGAAAUGCUUAGAUAUCACGAAGAACUCCGAUUGCGAAGGCAGUUCACUGGACUGCAACUGACACUGAGGCUCGAAAGUGUGGGUAUCAAACAGGAUUAGAUACCCCUGUAGUC